RNAcentral lists this long non-coding RNA (613 nucleotides) under Dermacentor andersoni. Its description in RNAcentral is "uncharacterized LOC126518324". Lineage: Eukaryota; Metazoa; Arthropoda; Arachnida; Ixodida; Ixodidae. The record is from RNAcentral.
UGCUCUUCUUAGUGGGACCGCUUUGAUUCCUUAAAAAGUUGUAAUCGUUAAAAUGAAGUACUUUCAAUCAAUCUCUGCUGUCGUCUUCGUGAUUAUAUCCCAUGGAAUUGUAGCUCGCCCUAACGCAAAUUCAAAUACCGCACCGAAUAUACAACAACGUAACCAACUAGAGGAUGGUACCGAUCCGACAACAGAGGCACCUCGCCGUGUAGGAGAGCCGUGUGAAUGGACCGACGAGUGCGAACGUCAUCUUUGCUGCCGGUACUUCGAUAAUGGUUCUAGGUCUUGCCAGGAGCGACCCAAGAAAGACGGCGAGCAAUGUUCUAUGAAAAUGCUCCUUACUCCUUUUGGUGACGAAGGCGCAUACCAGAAAGCUUGUCCUUGUGGAGCCGGUUUUUAUUGCAACGUAUCCAACGAAGAGAACGCCGAACGACGUGACAAUGCACAGUUGGAAGUUAAUGGCGAUGCUGUAAAACUUGGGAAGUGUAGACAUAAUGUCACUUCGUCCAAGCGAAUGCCAGAACACUGCUGAAGCACCUGAAUUAUUUUCUAGGUCUGUUUGCUGAAGUCGUGCUCUUCAGGAUGCGUUCGGAAGAAAAAAAAAUAUAUUGAA